UCCCGUAAACGAUUGUAGCAUCGAUUGUGUUUUUUUUUUCAUUAAAUAAUUAGGCGGUGACCAGCUGGCUUCGGGCAAGGUUGGUUGGGUGUGCUUGAGUAACUCUAGGGGGUGAUUAUGUGGGAUGGGGUUAGACACUCAAAGAUUUGUAUUGAGGUAGGCUGCCUUAUUGAGUCGGUUUCUUUUUUUUGCUCAAAGCUUCUCCACCGAGCCACGGACCAGUCAAGUGAUUCAUUCAGGCAACGAACCAGUUGCUGCUUCGGACGUCACAUGUCACGUGACGUUUUUUGCUCUGAAGCAAGUUUCGAAGCAGUUGGGAGUUGUAGAUCAGGGUUUCAAGCACGUACCGAAGCUUCAGUGUCACACUGCCAUCACUACCGAUCAGUGUGUUCUUUCUGAUUAGCUCUUAAUUGAGAUCACCUGUCACGCACCGCUUUAUUAAAGGUGAACACAAUGGGUUUGGUUUACUUUUCGCAUCGGCCUGUGUCAAUCGAGGUUGAGUUUAGUGAGGGUUGAAAGUUUUCGAUCUAGCUUGCAGAUCACUAUUGUCACUUUAUACAAACUGAAAGUAUGCGUUGUUGCGUGUUUUUUUUUGUGGGCAUUUGACUGAACAGCCCAGACAAAUAUUGCUACCAACAUGGCACUUCGAAACAGACCACCGCAGUGUUAGAUGACUGACAAGAUCUAUGGGGGGGCCCCCUUUGGGCCCCCCCAUACCAACUUAGUCUUCAAAGGAAUCUAGUGCCAUAGGACUCCAGUGUCUUCAAAACAUCCUCGGAAUACAUGUGUAUGAAUGGUCCACCGAAGGGUUGAUCUGGAAGCCACCACGGUCCACGCAGUAAUCUGCUGCGUGGGCCGUAGUGGCUUCCAGAGCCAUCUUUCGGUCUUGGUCAGGAUUUGUUAGUUGCCCUUCAAUGUAGCAGGCUACGGGUUUCUGAAGAAGCCUGCUUUACGCAGCAUUGGAGUACAAAUAUUGUGCAAAAUGCUCAUGUAAUUGCGCUAGCACUGGUAACCUGUAGAUUAGCUUAGUUGAACGUCAUUCGGUGCUGUCUGUCAAAUGUGUGGCUUACUUUAAGUCCACAAGGCCCUCUGGUAAACUACGUUGGAACACCCCCGGACAAGGUGAUUAGUCACUGGGUGUGUGCUAAAGUUUUGUUCCAUUUUUCACUAGUUGGUUAAGGUUUGGUAGAAUUGUUUGGAUGCUAGCGACGUGAUGGCGUAUGUACAAGAGCCUACCGUGGCCAGGCCACAGUUGCGACGGCCACGGCCAGAUGGCCUAGUGUGAGUGCAACCUUGAUUGCAUUUGUAUAAUGUUUACCAUUGGAUGUUUAUGCAAUUUGGCUUAAUUCAUCCGCUGUAAAGCUGCAUUUGACUAUUCCAGGGUCGUUUUGUACAGGCUUUCAAUUGACCAUGUUGACUAGUUUGUGGUAAGUUUUUUUUUUUUUUUUUUUUUUUUUUUUUUUUUUUUUUUACCCUUGCUUACAAUCCAACGGUUGCGACCACUUAUGCAACUGGGCUGUGAACCUUGCAAUUCUAGUUGCAUAUUUGUACACGCAAGCUUGUCCAUUUCUAUCGCCAUCACUAACACUAGCUUCAGAAUUUCCUUGUAGGCCAUUAGCUGACUUGUGUAUUGGAGGGAUGAUUUGGGUCAUGCUGCAAAUUUACUUUUUGUAGUUGCUCCAUAUUUAGUUCUUUGACAGCCUCACCUGCUAGAAAAGUAUAUUCAAAUCGGCUAAAUAUAAUGAACUAAAUUAAUAGCCAUGAAAUGUUGUCACUCAUACUAAUGGCAAAUACCCCCUUUCAGUUGGUGGUUCAACACUGAUGUCUCUCUAGGCUUGAGGGAGAGCUCACAAGUAAAUUACACGAAUGUCCUGGAGCAAUUGGGAAUACACUUUUAUUUAGUCUACCUGACCAGGGACAUCUUUGAACUAUAGGUCACCUAACCCCAACUUUUCACUCUUGUUAGGUUGUCCUUUUCUCUUGUUUUAACCCGAAAGGGCUGAAAAUUAUCAACAUUU
Gadus chalcogrammus (walleye pollock) is the source of this 2018-nucleotide long non-coding RNA. RefSeq lists it as uncharacterized. The transcript is spliced from 2 exons. Lineage: Eukaryota; Metazoa; Chordata; Actinopteri; Gadiformes; Gadidae. The record is from RefSeq and is a predicted model, not a curated record.